This 622-nucleotide small RNA is filed under the name Pan troglodytes (chimpanzee). RNAcentral describes it as "retained intron". Lineage: Eukaryota; Metazoa; Chordata; Mammalia; Primates; Hominidae. The record is from RNAcentral.
ACUAUGCUGACUCUCCAAACAAUAGGCAGCCCUUGCUGGGAGAGCUUUAGAGAUGGUUUUCAGCAUCUCUGUGUUCAUCCCAUCACAGGGUGACUGGUUUAUUUGCCUUUUGAUCCUAAACAGUAAUGAAUCCUUUCUUUUUGUUUUCAACCCCAGGGGUUGCCCUGCUGUCAGACGUCUAUCCUGAGAAAAUCUUGCCGGACUUGUUGGCUCAAUAUGACAGCAGCAAAGACAAGCACACACCAGAGACCAGAAUGAAAGUCGGGGAAGUCCUUAUGCGAAUCGUCAGGGCAUUAGGAGACAUGGUCUCAAAGUACCGAGAACCUUUGAUCCACACCUUCCUGAGGGGAGUGAGAGAUCCCGAUGGUGCUCACAGGGCCAGCAGCUUGGCCAACCUUGGGGAGCUGUGCCAGAGGCUGGACUUUCUGCUGGGCUCCGUGGUCCAUGAGGUAACAGCUUGCCUGAUUGCUGUGGCCAAAACAGAUGGUGAAGUUCAAGUACGCAGAGCUGCCAUACAUGUGGUUGUGCUGCUGCUUCGGGGACUCAGCCAGAAAGCUACUGAGGUGCUGAGCGCCGUCCUCAAGGAUCUCUACCACCUGCUGAAGCACGUAGUGUGUCUGGA